Molecule: transfer RNA, 73 nt
Filed under: Camelus bactrianus (Bactrian camel)
Lineage: Eukaryota; Metazoa; Chordata; Mammalia; Artiodactyla; Camelidae
Also listed under: 2 other names
Rfam family: tRNA
About the family: Transfer RNA (tRNA) molecules are approximately 80 nucleotides in length. Their secondary structure includes four short double-helical elements and three loops (D, anti-codon, and T loops). Further hydrogen bonds mediate the characteristic L-shaped molecular structure. tRNAs have two regions of fundamental functional importance: the anti-codon, which is responsible for specific mRNA codon recognition, and the 3' end, to which the tRNAs corresponding amino acid is attached (by aminoacyl-tRNA synthetases). tRNAs cope with the degeneracy of the genetic code in two manners: having more than one tRNA (with a specific anti-codon) for a particular amino acid; and 'wobble' base-pairing, i.e. permitting non-standard base-pairing at the 3rd anti-codon position.
Source: Rfam by way of RNAcentral
GAGGGUAUAGCUCAAGCAGUAGAGCGCAUGAAUAUCAUGCAUGAGGCCCUGUGUUCAAUCCCCAGUACCUCCU